This 464-nucleotide ribosomal RNA is filed under the name uncultured bacterium. RNAcentral describes it as "SSU rRNA". It matches the Rfam family "Bacterial small subunit ribosomal RNA", at positions 26 to 518 of the family's 1533-position model. The record is from RNAcentral.
AGGACUAACGCUGGCGGCGUGCCUAACACAUGCAAGUCGAACGAAGUAGCAAUACUUAGUGGCAGACGGGUGAGUAACACGUAGUCAACCUGCCCUUCAAUGGGGGAUAACUAGCCGAAAGGUUAGCUAAUACCGCAUACGAUCUCUGAGUGGCAUCACUCGGCGAUGAAAGGAGUAAUCCGUUGAAGGAGGGGACUGCGUCCCAUUAGUUAGUUGGUGGGGUAAUGGCCUACCAAGACUCCGAUGGGUAGCUGGCUUGAGAGAGCGACCAGCCACACUGGAACUGAGACACGGUCCAGACUCCUACGGGAGGCAGCAGUGAGGAAUUUUCCGCAAUGGGGGAAACCCUGACGGAGCGACGCCGCGUGUGGGAAGAAGGCCUUCGGGUCGUAAACCACUGUCGAGGGGGACGAUAUUGACGGUACCCCUGGAGGAAGCCCCGGCUACUACGCGCCAGCAGCCGC